ACGGUCCUAAGGUAGCGAAAUUCCUUGUCAGGUAAGUUCUGACCCGCACGAAAGGAGUAAUGAUUUGGGCACUGUCUCAACAAUGUACCCGGCGAAAUUGUAGUACUAGUGAAGAUGCUAGUUACCUGCGACAAGACGGAAAGACCCCAUGGAGCUUUACUAUAGCCUGAUAUUGGGCUUUGGUAUCUUAUGUACAGGAUAGGUGGGAGACUAUGAGAUUAAGACGCAAGUCUUAAAGGAGUCAACCUUGGAAUACCACCCUUAAGAUAUUAGAGUUCUAACUUGUGAUCAUAAACUGGUCAGAGGACAUUGUCAGGUGGGUAGUUUGACUGGGGCGGUCACCUCCUAAAGAGUAACGGAGGUGCGCAAAGGUUUCCUCGGCACGGUCAGAAAUCGUGCUAAUGAGUGUAAAGGCAUAAGGAAGCUUAACUGAGAGAGAGACAUCUCGACCAGAUACGAAAGUAGGUCUUAGUGAUCCGGUGGUAGAAAAUGGAAUUGCCAUCGCUCAACGGAUAAAAGUUACCCUGGGGAUAACAGGCUUAUCUCCCCCAAGAGUUCACAUCGACGGGGAGGUUUGGCACCUCGAUGUCGGCUCAUCGCAUCCUGGGGCUGAAGUCGGUCCCAAGGGUUGGGCUGUUCGCCCAUUAAAGCGGUACGCGAGCUGGGUUCAGAACGUCGUGAGACAGUUCGGUCCCUAUCUGUCGCAGGCGCAGGAUAUUUGAAAGGAGCUGUCCUUAGUACGAGAGGACCAGGAUGGACAUACCAAUGGUGCAACAGUUGUCACACCAGUGGCACAGCUGUGUAGCUAAGUAUGGAAGGGAUAAACGCUGAAAGCAUCUAAGCGUGAAGCCCCCCUUAAGAUAAGAUAUCCCACAACGUCAAGUUGGUAAGAUUCCAGUUAGACUAACUGGUUGAUAGGUUAGAGGUGUAAGUGUGGUGACACAUUUAGCUGACUAAUACUAAUAAUCGAGGGCUUAACCAA
This 982-nucleotide ribosomal RNA is filed under the name human oral metagenome. RNAcentral's name for it is "bacterial LSU rRNA". It matches the Rfam family "Bacterial large subunit ribosomal RNA", at positions 1945 to 2925 of the family's 2925-position model. The record is from RNAcentral.